RNAcentral lists this ribosomal RNA (484 nucleotides) under uncultured bacterium. Its description in RNAcentral is "partial 16S ribosomal RNA". It matches the Rfam family "Bacterial small subunit ribosomal RNA", at positions 30 to 507 of the family's 1533-position model. The record is from RNAcentral.
AUUGAACGCUGGCGGCAGGCCUAACACAUGCAAGUCGAGCGGAUGAAGGGAGCUUGCUCCUGGAUUCAGCGGCGGACGGGUGAGUAAUGCCUAGGAAUCUGCCUGGUAGUGGGGGAUAACGUCCGGAAACGGGCGCUAAUACCGCAUACGUCCUGAGGGAGAGAGUGGGGGAUCUUCGGACCUCACGCUAUCAGAUGAGCCUAGGUCGGAUUAGCUAGUUGGUGGGGUAAAGGCCUACCAAGGCGACGAUCCGUAACUGGUCUGAGAGGAUGAUCAGUCACACUGGAACUGAGACACGGUCCAGACUCCUACGGGAGGCAGCAGUGGGGAAUAUUGGACAAUGGGCGAAAGCCUGAUCCAGCCAUGCCGCGUGUGUGAAGAAGGUCUUCGGAUCGUAAAGCACUUUAAGUUGGGAGGAAGGGCAGUAAGUUAAUACCUUGCUGUUUUGACGUUACCAACAGAAUAAGCACCGGCUAACUUCGUG